GGGGGAAUGGCCCUAGCUCAGCAGUAGAACAUCUGCUCUGUGUGCAGAAGGUCCCAGGUUCAAUCCCUGCUGCUCCA
Podarcis lilfordi (Lilford's wall lizard) is the source of this 77-nucleotide non-coding RNA. NCBI's taxonomy places the organism in Eukaryota, Metazoa, Chordata, Lepidosauria, Squamata, Lacertidae. The record is from the annotation of a GenBank genome assembly.